AGAAUCAACGCUGGCGGCGUGCCUAACACAUGCAAGUCGAACGAGAAAGUGGAGCAAUCCAUGAGUAAAGUGGCGACCGGGUGAGUAACACGUGACUAACCUACCUUCAAGGUGGGGGAUAACCUCGGGAAAACCGGGGCUAAUACCGCAUAACAUCUUUGGAGUGGAAAUUCUGGAGAUCAAAGGAGCAAUUCGCUGGAAGAGGGGGUCGCGGCUGAUUAGCUAGUUGGCGGGGUAAUGGCCCACCAAGGCUUUGAUCGGUA
Molecule: ribosomal RNA, 263 nt
Filed under: uncultured bacterium
Lineage: Bacteria
Description: partial small subunit ribosomal RNA
Rfam family: Bacterial small subunit ribosomal RNA
Source: RNAcentral